This 253-nucleotide ribosomal RNA is filed under the name uncultured bacterium. RNAcentral's name for it is "partial 16S ribosomal RNA". It matches the Rfam family "Bacterial small subunit ribosomal RNA", at positions 524 to 776 of the family's 1533-position model. The record is from RNAcentral.
UACGGGGGGGGCAAGCGUUGUUCGGAAUUACUGGGCGUAAAGGGCUCGUAGGUGGCCAACUAAGUCAGACGUGAAAUCCCUCGGCUUAACCGGGAAACUGCGUCUGAUACUGGAUGGCUUGAGUUCGGGAGAGGGAUGCGGAAUUCCAGGUGUAGCGGUGAAAUGCGUAGAUAUCUGGAGGAACACCGGUGGCGAAGGCGGCAUCCUGGACCGACACUGACACUGAGGAGCGAAAGCCAGGGGAGCAAACGGG